Molecule: long non-coding RNA, 176 nt
Organism: Myotis davidii
Lineage: Eukaryota; Metazoa; Chordata; Mammalia; Chiroptera; Vespertilionidae
Exons: 2
Source: RefSeq, a predicted model, not a curated record
CUUGGGGGCCAGAUGUGAAUAACACAGUUUGUACAAAUGAAAGAGGCUGGAUAACCUACCAGGGAUUCCUUUCCCAGUGGACGCUCACGACCUAUUUAGAUGUACAGCGGUGCCUGGAGUAUUUGGGCUACUUAGGCUAUUCAAUAUUGACUGAACAAGAGUCUCAAGCUUCAGCC